RNAcentral lists this ribosomal RNA (689 nucleotides) under uncultured bacterium. RNAcentral describes it as "bacterial SSU rRNA". It matches the Rfam family "Bacterial small subunit ribosomal RNA", at positions 8 to 690 of the family's 1533-position model. The record is from RNAcentral.
AGAGUUUGAUCCUGGCUCAGAUUGAACGCUGGCGGAAUGCUUUACACAUGCAAGUCGAACGGCAGCACGGACUUCGGUCUGGUGGCGAGUGGCGAACGGGUGAGUAAUAUAUCGGAACGUAUCCAAUAAUGGGGGAUAACUAAUCGAAAGGUUGGCUAAUACCGCAUACGCCCUACGGGGGAAAGCUAGGGAUCUUCGGACCUGGCGUUAAUGGAGCGGCCGAUAUCUGAUUAGCUAGUUGGUGGGGUAAAGGCCCACCAAGGCGACGAUCAGUAGCUGGUCUGAGAGGACGACCAGCCACACUGGAACUGAGACACGGCCCAGACUCCUACGGGAGGCAGCAGUGGGGAAUUUUGGACAAUGGGCGCAAGCCUGAUCCAGCCAUUCCGCGUGAGUGAAGAAGGCCUUCGGGUUGUAAAGCUCUUUCGCAAGGGAAGAAAACUUAUCCUCUAACAUAGGAUGAGGUUGACGGUACCUUGAUAAGAAGCACCGGCUAACUACGUGCCAGCAGCCGCGGUAAUACGUAGGGUGCGAGCGUUAAUCGGAAUUACUGGGCGUAAAGCGUGCGCAGGCUGUUUUGUAAGUCAGAUGUGAAAUCCCUGANCUCAACUUAGGAACUGCGUNUGAAACUACNAGGACUCGAAUAUGUCAGAGGGGGGGUAGAAUUCCACGUGUAGCAGUGAAAUGCG